Molecule: ribosomal RNA, 558 nt
Filed under: uncultured fungus
Lineage: Eukaryota; Fungi
Description: SSU rRNA
Rfam family: Eukaryotic small subunit ribosomal RNA
Source: RNAcentral
GGAAGGGAUGUAUUUAUUAGAUUAAAAACCAAUGCCCUUUCGGGGCUCACUGGUGAUUCAUGAUAACUCCUCGAAUCGCAUGGCCUUGUGCCGGCGAUGGUUCAUUCAAAUUUCUUCCCUAUCAACUUUCGAUGUUUGGGUAUUGGCCAAACAUGGUUGCAACGGGUAACGGAGGGUUAGGGCUCGACCCCGGAGAAGGAGCCUGAGUUACGGCUACUACAUCCAAGGAAGGCAGUUGGCGCGCAAAUUACCCAAUCCCGACACAAGGAGGUAGUGACAAUAAAUACUGAUACAGGGCUCUUUUAAGUCUUGUAAUUGGAAUGAGUACAAUUUGGAUCCCUUAACGAGGAACAAUUGGAGGGCAAGUCUGGUGCCAGCAGCCGCGGUAAUUCCAGCUCCAAUAGCGUAUAUUAAAGUUGUUGUGGUUACCAAGCUCGUAGUUGAACCUUAAGCCUGGCCGUCCGGUCCGCCUCACCGCGUGUACUGGCUCGGCCGGGCCUUUCCCUCUGUGGAACCCCAUGCCCUUCACUGGGCGUGGCGGGGAAACAGGACUUUUAC